Molecule: ribosomal RNA, 464 nt
Filed under: uncultured bacterium
Lineage: Bacteria
Description: partial 16S ribosomal RNA
Rfam family: Bacterial small subunit ribosomal RNA
Source: RNAcentral
CUACGGGUUGCACCAGUGGGGAAUUUUGGACAAUGGGCGAAAGCCUGAUCCAGCCAUGCCGCGUGCGGGAAGAAGGCCUUCGGGUUGUAAACCGCUUUUGUCAGGGAAGAAAUCUUCUGGGUUAAUACCUCGGGAGGAUGACGGUACCUGAAGAAUAAGCACCGGCUAACUACGUGCCAGCAGCCGCGGUAAUACGUAGGGUGCAAGCGUUAAUCGGAAUUACUGGGCGUAAAGCGUGCGCAGGCGGUUUUGUAAGACAGAGGUGAAAUCCCCGGGCUCAACCUGGGAACUGCCUUUGUGACUGCAAGGCUUGAGUGCGGCAGAGGGGGAUGGAAUUCCGCGUGUAGCAGUGAUAUGCGUAGAUAUGCGGAGGAACACCGAUGGCGAAGGCAAUCCCCUGGGCCUGCACUGACGCUCAUGCACGAAAGCGUGGGGAGCAAACAGGAUUAGAUACCCUCGUAGUC